This 447-nucleotide ribosomal RNA is filed under the name uncultured bacterium. RNAcentral describes it as "bacterial SSU rRNA". It matches the Rfam family "Bacterial small subunit ribosomal RNA", at positions 330 to 793 of the family's 1533-position model. The record is from RNAcentral.
UCCAGACUCCUACGGGAGGCAGCAGUGGGGGAUAUUGCACAAUGGGGGGAACCCUGAUGCAGCGACGCCGCGUGGGUGAAGAAGUAUUUCGGUAUGUAAAGCCCUAUCGGCAGGGAAGAAAUUGGACGGUACCUGACUAAGAAGCCCCGGCUAACUACGUGCCAGCAGCCGCGGUAAUACGUAGGGGGCAAGCGUUAUCCGGAUUUACUGGGUGUAAAGGGAGCGUAGACGGCGAUACAAGUCUGAAGUGAAAGCCCGGGGCUCAACCCCGGGACUGCUUUGGAAACUGUGUUGCUGGAGUGCUGGAGAGGCAAGCGGAAUUCCUAGUGUAGCGGUGAAAUGCGUAGAUAUUAGGAGGAACACCAGUGGCGAAGGCGGCUUACUGGACUGUAAAUGACGCUGAGGCUCGAAAGCGUGGGGAGCAAACAGGAUUAGAUACCCGCGUAA